GACAGCAGCCGCCGCGGUAAUACGUAGGUGGCAAGCGUUGUCCGGAAUUAUUGGGCGUAAAGGGCUCGCAGGCGGUUUCUUAAGUCUGAUGUGAAAGCCCCCGGCUCAACCGGGGAGGGUCAUUGGAAAUUGGGAAACUUGAGUGCAGAAGAGGAGAGUGGAAUUCCACGUGUAGCGGUGAAAUGCGUAGAGAUGUGGAGGAACACCAGUGGCGAAGGCGACUCUCUGGUCUGUAACUGACGCUGAGGAGCGAAAGCGUGGGGAGCGAACAGAAUUAGAUACCCCUGUAGUCCCUGUCUCUUAUAC
RNAcentral lists this ribosomal RNA (306 nucleotides) under uncultured bacterium. RNAcentral's name for it is "partial 16S ribosomal RNA". It matches the Rfam family "Bacterial small subunit ribosomal RNA", at positions 507 to 807 of the family's 1533-position model. The record is from RNAcentral.